GUGGGUAGUUUGACUGGGGCGGUCUCCUCCUAAAGAGUAACGGAGGAGCACGAAGGUUGGCUAAUCCUGGUCGGACAUCAGGAGGUUAGUGCAAUGGCAUAAGCCAGCUUGACUGCGAGCGUGACGGCGCGAGCAGGUGCGAAAGCAGGUCAUAGUGAUCCGGUGGUUCUGAAUGGAAGGGCCAUCGCUCAACGGAUAAAAGGUACUCCGGGGAUAACAGGCUGAUACCGCCCAAGAGUUCAUAUCGACGGCGGUGUUUGGCACCUCGAUGUCGGCUCAUCACAUCCUGGGGCUGAAGUAGGUCCCAAGGGUAUGGCUGUUCGCCAUUUAAAGUGGUACGCGAGCUGGGUUUAGAACGUCGUGAGACAGUUCGGUCCCUAUCUGCCGUGGGCGCUGGAGAACUGAGGGGGGCUGCUCCUAGUACGAGAGGACCGGAGUGGACGCAUCACUGGUGUUCGGGUUGUCAUGCCAAUGGCACUGCCCGGUAGCUAAAUGCGGAAGAGAUAAGUGCUGAAAGCAUCUAAGCACGAAACUUGCCCCGAGAUGAGUUCUCCCUGAGACUUUAGGUCUCCUGAAGGAACGUUGAAGACGACGACGUUGAUAGGCCGGGUGUGUAAGCGCAGCGAUGCGU
Molecule: ribosomal RNA, 631 nt
Filed under: Salmonella enterica
Lineage: Bacteria; Pseudomonadati; Pseudomonadota; Gammaproteobacteria; Enterobacterales; Enterobacteriaceae
Also listed under: 1 other name
Description: partial 23S ribosomal RNA
Rfam family: Bacterial large subunit ribosomal RNA
Source: RNAcentral